AUUUUGGACAAUGGCGAAAGCCUGAUCCAGCAAUGCCGCGUGUGUGAAGAAGGCCUUCGGGUUGUAAAGCACUUUUGUCCGGAAAGAAAUCCUCUGGGUUAAUACCUCGGGGGGAUGACGGUACCGGAAGAAUAAGCACCGGCUAACUACGUGCCAGCAGCCGCGGUAAUACGUAGGGUGCAAGCGUUAAUCGGAAUUACUGGGCGUAAAGCGUGCGCAGGCGGUUUUGUAAGACGGAUGUGAAAUCCCCGGGCUCAACCUGGGAACUGCAUUCGUGACUGCAAGGCUAGAGUAUGGCAGAGGGGGGUAGAAUUCCACGUGUAGCAGUGAAAUGCGUAGAGAUGUGGAGAAUACCGAUGGCGAAGGCAGCCCCCUGGGCCAAUACUGACGCUCAUGCACGAAAGCGUGGG
This 410-nucleotide ribosomal RNA is filed under the name uncultured bacterium. Its description in RNAcentral is "bacterial SSU rRNA". It matches the Rfam family "Bacterial small subunit ribosomal RNA", at positions 361 to 765 of the family's 1533-position model. The record is from RNAcentral.